Molecule: ribosomal RNA, 253 nt
Filed under: uncultured bacterium
Lineage: Bacteria
Description: partial 16S ribosomal RNA
Rfam family: Bacterial small subunit ribosomal RNA
Source: RNAcentral
UACGUAGGGUGCAAGCGUUGUUCGGAAUUACUGGGCGUAAAGGGCUCGUAGGCGGCCAACUAAGUCAGACGUGAAAUCCCUCGGCUUAACCGGGGAACUGCGUCUGAUACUGGAUGGCUUGAAUCCGGGAGAGGGAUGCGGAAUUCCAGGUGUAGCGGUGAAAUGCGUAGAUAUCUGGAGGAACACCGGUGGCGAAGGCGGCAUCCUGGACCGGCAUUGACGCUGAGGAGCGAAAGCCAGGGGAGCAAACGGG